This is a long non-coding RNA of Gossypium raimondii (Peruvian cotton), 520 nucleotides long. RefSeq lists it as uncharacterized. The record is from RefSeq and is a predicted model, not a curated record. Lineage: Eukaryota; Viridiplantae; Streptophyta; Magnoliopsida; Malvales; Malvaceae. The transcript is spliced from 2 exons.
UGUUUGAAAAUUUCGACGUUUGGGCACUCAAUUUAGUCAAAAGGACUAAAUUGUAAAAAGUGCAAAAGUUGAGUUCUACAAGUUAGAGGUGUCUAAUUAUUAUGAAAUUUUAAAUUGGAGGUCCUUAAAUGGUAAUUAGACCAUUGGUUAUUUAUGGACAAAAAUAGACAUGGUUAGUAAGUAAGCUAUUUAAGGGCAUUUUGGUAAAAUGCCUUAAUUAAUGAAUAAAGACAAAAUAACAUGAAAUAAAUUAUCAUCUUCUUCAAUUCUUUUCUUCAUGGCCGUAUGUAGCAAGGGAACACCAUGGCUAGGGUUUGUUCAUCUUCCAAGCUUCAUGAUCAAGAAAGAAGUGGAAUCGACCUUGACCGGAGAAAAGGAAAGAUUAAAGACUAAAUUGCUAAAUUUUUAUAUUAUUGCAUCAAAGUAAGUUACGUGUAAAUAAUAGUUAUAUUUUUAUAAAUUGUGAAUUAUAUUUGAUAUGUGAAUUAAUAUUGAAUGUGGAAGGAAAAUUGUUCAUGAA